CAGCCGCCGCGGGAAUACGUAGGGUGCAAGCGUUAAUCGGAAUUACUGGGCGUAAAGCGUGCGCAGGCGGUUUUGUAAGACAGAGGUGAAAUCCCCGGGCUCAACCUGGGAACUGCCUUUGUGACUGCAAGGCUAGAGUACGGCAGAGGGGGAUGGAAUUCCGCGUGUAGCAGUGAAAUGCGUAGAUAUGCGGAGGAACACCGAUGGCGAAGGCAAUCCCCUGGGCCUGUACUGACGCUCAUGCACGAAAGCGUGGGGAGCAAAAAGGAUUAGAUACCCCAGUAGUCCCUGUCUCUUAUAC
RNAcentral lists this ribosomal RNA (301 nucleotides) under uncultured bacterium. RNAcentral describes it as "partial 16S ribosomal RNA". It matches the Rfam family "Bacterial small subunit ribosomal RNA", at positions 509 to 807 of the family's 1533-position model. The record is from RNAcentral.